This 449-nucleotide ribosomal RNA is filed under the name uncultured bacterium. RNAcentral's name for it is "partial 16S ribosomal RNA". It matches the Rfam family "Bacterial small subunit ribosomal RNA", at positions 329 to 795 of the family's 1533-position model. The record is from RNAcentral.
UGCCAGACUCCUACGGGAGGCAGCAGUGGGGGAUAUUGCACAAUGGGGGAAACCCUGAUGCAGCGACGCCGCGUGAGUGAAGAAGUAAUUCGUUACGUAAAGCUCUAUCAGCAGGGAAGAAAAUGACGGUACCUGAAGAAGAAGCCCCGGCUAACUACGUGCCAGCAGCCGCGGUAAUACGUAGGGGGCAAGCGUUAUCCGGAUUUACUGGGUGUAAAGGGGGCGCAGACGGCGAUGCAAGCCAGGAGUGAAAGCCCGGCGCCCAACCCCGGGACUGCUCUUGGAACUGCGUGGCUAGAGUGCAGGAGGGGCAGGCGGAAUUCCUGGUGUAGCGGUGAAAUGCGUAGAUAUCAGGAGGAACACCGGUGGCGAAGGCGGCCUGCUGGACUGCAACUGACGGUGAGGCCCGAAAGCGUGGGGAGCAAACAGGAUUAGAUACCCCAGUAGUU